This is a long non-coding RNA of Panonychus citri (citrus red mite), 723 nucleotides long. RefSeq lists it as uncharacterized. NCBI's taxonomy places the organism in Eukaryota, Metazoa, Arthropoda, Arachnida, Trombidiformes, Tetranychidae. The transcript has 2 exons. The record is from RefSeq and is a predicted model, not a curated record.
AAGAAAAUUUUUUUUCUUUUUGUCGAUGGAGGGAAAAGUUUAUAUUCUAAAGACAAAAUUGCGUCUUAAUUGUUGCGGUUCCAAUUUCUUUGGUUUAUUGUUUCAACUAAUUGAUUCUUUUUGUUUUGUCACUUGUUAUAUUUUUAAUUGUGAAUUGAUUUACAUUUAGAUUUGGAUUUAAUUGGAUUAGUUGGUUGAUCAACUGUUAAUUGUGAUUAGAUAAAAGCUACAAGGUUUUCAAUUAGAAUCUCUCUCUCUCUUUCUCUAUAGGAGGUUAAGGUUCAUUGUUUUAAUGUUGAUUUUAUUUUCUAUUCCAACAGGAAACAGAUUGUUUUCUAAUACCUGUUGAUUAAUUGUUGUUUUUUUUCGGUUAAUUAUGGUUAUAAAAGACCAAACCAAGACUCUCCUGGAUCAUCAAGGAAUCAACAAUCCAUCGGACAAAUCACAUUGGAACAUGGAAAAUUCAUCGGAUUCUAACAAAGUGAAAUAUUUAAAUUCUAACAAGGACCUUGUCAAUUUGGAAAAUAUAAACGAGAGAUAAUCAUCUUUGAUUAGAGAUUAUGGAAAACAAUCUCAGGAAACUAUAAAAUUCUAGUUGACACUUUUGUCUUCAUUGUUUGAUUGUUGUCUUGUUGUUUUUGUUACUCUUUCAAUAGAGAAUCGGACUUGCGAUCUUGUGUCAUCAUAAUUAGUAAUUUAAUAAAGAUUUAAUUUCUUUGUUUA